This is a long non-coding RNA of Betta splendens (Siamese fighting fish), 2391 nucleotides long. RefSeq lists it as uncharacterized. The transcript has 2 exons. NCBI's taxonomy places the organism in Eukaryota, Metazoa, Chordata, Actinopteri, Anabantiformes, Osphronemidae. The record is from RefSeq and is a predicted model, not a curated record.
UCACGCGAUUCUGUUUUUUUUUUGUCAGACGCCUCUUCUCACCAGUGACGACGCUGCUCCGGUGAGUUAGCAAACGAACUCAGUUAGCUUAUUUUCCAACUGUCAAGAUGGAGGAGAAUUACUGUAUAAACAAAACAAAGGCUCAUAACUGAUGGAAGACCAACGCCGGAGCUUAAAGGUUUGCUUCAAACUACGGGACAGAAGACGACUCGCUCCUUUCAAACGGACCCGAAAAGACUCGCUGUGCUGCCACAAACCGACUGUACUGUGUGUGAUAUUUUUUAAAUGUAUAAAAUUAAGACCACAAAUGGUUUUCAGUUUUCUAAAAAAUAACUGAUGAAAACAACUUAGAUUUUUAAGUCAAGUAAAGUCAAAGUCUUGUGUUGAUUUGCAGUCCUGUGUUAACUUAAAGUACGAGUGCUGUGUUAACUAAAUAAGGCAGAAGUCCUGUGUUAACGGAAAGCAAAGUUUUUGUGUCCAUUGUAAUUGUGUUAGGUCCUGUGGUAAAUCCUGUGGUAUUUUUUAAAGUCAAAGUUUUGUUUUAGGUGAGUAAAGUUAGUUAAAGCCACUAUCAUUUAUCUUCUCACUUAUAAUUAAAGUAAUUGUGUUUGCCCAUAGUGAACAUAUAGAUUCUCGUUUUAGUUCUUUUAUUGUAAGUCUGACUCUGGAGAAGUCUGUGCCUCACCAGCCAUGAACCUCCCCGUACGCCACUGGUUAUGACACUGUUUCCUUGAUGCAACCAGCCAGAAUGUCUUUUAUGGGUGGUCAAGCUUUCCCCCCAUUACUGCUAAACAUUCCUCUAAAACUAUGUGAAACUUCCAGAAACCGUUUUUUGUUUGUUGUGGCUCAGGCACCUUUAUCUGUUUUUGUGGUUUCACCAGCAAAGGUGUCACGGUUGACUUGUGUCACCUGGGGCCCGUUUCAAGAAGGAGUUUUCUGAGUUUAAACUAAACUCUGAGUUGAUUUACUCUGAGUUUGCGAACCUGGAGUUUUCGGUUUCAGAACAGCUGAUGAGAGUUGGUUUAAGCAACUCCGAGUUGACUGACUCAGAGUUAAGCGCGUGCACCGUGACUAUACAAAGCCCUGAUCAAUGGAGUGAAGAUAUUACGAGUCACCAUGGCAACAGGACAACAAAAGACGUCAGGAAAUGGAUAUGAUACCUCAAGCAAAUAGCGACUACGAGUCUAUAAUCCGUAGAAAAAGCAACACGGCUGCAGAAUUAGCUUGGAAGAAAAUAGCUGCUCGAGUCAAUGCGUAAGUUUACAUUUUAAUCAUACAGUGUUCGAUGUAACUAAUUACUAAAUAAUUUUAGUAUUGUUGUUAUAUUUCACUCGUAAACUAAGAACUUUUAAAGUAAUUGUUCACUCAUCUAAGAAGUUUCUUCAGUAAUUGUAUAAAUACUGAUGUUUGUAUGAAUUAAAAGUGCAGUGUUAUGUCUAUCCAUUUUUAAAAUUCCUGUUGUGGUUGAUGUGGGAUUUGUAAAGUAAUGAUAAUUCAAUAAUCCAAUACGUUUUAUGGAGAGCAAUUAUUACAUUGAUCUAAUUAGGUUUUUAAAAGUUACCCAAAACACAUGUAAUGAUAUAAGAAUUUAAUUUCAGUUUUUAUGUAGGCGCAAUCCUGCAGGCAUAAAAGAACGUGGCUUAAAAUGAAAUAUAAAAACAUAAUUCAAACAGGUAAGGCACGAUCAUAUCAUGGGUGUAGACUACCUGACUUUACAACAUUUGACAUAUAAAAUAACUAAAUAGCAUGCAGAGUAUAGCAGUGCAGCAGCAUUUUCAACAUGGGUGUAAUGUUUUCACACAGUUAAAUCAUUUGACUUCUACUCGGCCAACAGAAAGUAGGCAGAGGCUAGAACAACUGGUGGAGGACCUGCACCUCCACCUCUGACGCAUGCAGAGGAGAUGGCACUCAGCCUGAACACUGGAAAGCAGAGGCUGAAGGAAUUCCUGGAGGGAGUUCAUCAGAACUAGUCACUCCCAAGGAUACAAGUGCAUUUGUAAAAUAGUGUGGAAGAACAGCAGGAGGAGGGUCCGUCACAUUCUGCUGCACAGAUGCACACAGUUCAGGGAUGUUCAGAGUUCAAUGCCAGAGUUCAAUUCUGUAAGAGUAAUGAGGAACUAUGUCUUGUAACUCUAAAUCUUCUGUAUUUUAAGUUACCGGUUAUUGAGUUGUAUAAACUAAAUCUCACGAAAAUGUUAUACUUGUACCAUCAGAUUGAAAAGAAAAGAAAGAAAGAAAAAAAUCUAGAAAUUGAAAUUCCCAAACACAAGCUGGAGAUGAGUGUAUAGGUAAAGGUGAAUUGUAUGAAUUAUUGGAAGAAUCAUAAAAUUUAACCAUGGCCUUUGUAUUUGUAGGAAAUGAAAAAAAAAAACAAAUAAAUUAUGAUUUGCA